UUGGCCUCAAAUCAGGUAGGACUACCCACUGAACUUAAGCAUAUCAAUAAGUGGAGGAAAAGAAACUAACAAGGAUUCCCCUAGUAACGGCGAGUGAAGCGGGAAGAGCUCAAAUUUAAAAUCUGGCAGGCUACGCUUGUCCGAAUUGUAAUCUCGAGAAGUGUUUUCCGCGUUGGCCUGUGUACAAGUCCCUUGGAACAGGGCGUCAUAGAGGGUGAGAAUCCCGUCCUUGACACAGACACCCAAUGCUUUGUGAUACACUCUCAAUGAGUCGAGUUGUUUGGGAAUGCAGCUCAAAAUGGGUGGUAAAUUCCAUCUAAAGCUAAAUACUGGCGAGAGACCGAUAGCGAACAAGUACCGUGAGGGAAAGAUGAAAAGCACUUUGGAAAGAGAGUCAAACAGUACGUGAAAUUGUUGAAAGGGAAACGAUUGAAGUCAGUCGUGCCUGCCUAGUCUCAGCCUUUUGGUGUACUACUAGGUCGGCAGGUCAGCAUCAGUUUGGGAGGAUUAACAAGGGAGCUAGGAAUGUGGCAACCUCGGUUGUGUUAUAGCCUAGUUUCGCAUUGAUCUUGCUGGACUGAGGAACGCAGUGCGCCCGCAAGGGUUGGU
Molecule: ribosomal RNA, 609 nt
Filed under: Cystofilobasidium macerans
Lineage: Eukaryota; Fungi; Basidiomycota; Tremellomycetes; Cystofilobasidiales; Cystofilobasidiaceae
Description: LSU rRNA
Rfam family: Eukaryotic large subunit ribosomal RNA
Source: RNAcentral